This is a long non-coding RNA of Notechis scutatus (mainland tiger snake), 1591 nucleotides long. RefSeq lists it as uncharacterized. The record is from RefSeq and is a predicted model, not a curated record. NCBI's taxonomy places the organism in Eukaryota, Metazoa, Chordata, Lepidosauria, Squamata, Elapidae.
UCCCGCGUUCUUUUCUCGCCCGGCCUGAGAGGCGUCGUGGGUCUCUUGCAAUUGCGGCUCCUUUGCAUCAGGCCGCGGCGGGAGGCGGGGAAGAUGGCGGGGCGCAAGAAGAAGCUGGCGGGCGAAGGGAACGAAAGCCGGGCCCUCCCGCAGGAAGCCCAGCAGCCGAAGGGAAGGCCCGGAGGCCUUGCCCGUGAAGGGUAUAUGCAGGGGCGCAGGGCACAGACCCAAGGGAUAACUUGUUUGCUUACAAAAAAUGGCCUGUGAUGAAAUUGUUUUUGCAGAAGUGAUUCUGCUGAAUGAGAGAAAUGUAGUGUCUGAAGCAGCAGCUCUUCCGUUAGAAAACAAUGAAAGAAAACGCCAUAUUGGUAAAGUGACUUGUGGCUGACUUCACUGAAGAAUAAUCUUGUGAUGUCUAAUUUAUCCUGAAAAUAUCUGGCUUCAACUUCAUACUUGACCAUGAAUUUUUCUGAGUAUUUGCCUUGUGCCCUAGAGCUACGAGGAAAAAAUACUGGAUUUUAUUCAUAGAUAAAAUGGACUUGGAUCCACUGUUGGGGCAGAUCAUACAGGUAUAUUGGCCAUCUGCUUGUCCUGUUUUGUUUUUUCAUCUUGUAGAUUUCAGAAAUGUAGAUGUAAAAUAGAUGCUCACCAUGUUUUGUUCACCUUCCCCCCCUUUGUCUGAUAAAAUUGGUCUGGGAGGGAUUGCACCUAAUGAAAAUGGCUUAUUUUUCCUCCUCGCUUCAAAAGAAAUUGAUUGGAGGGCAGGGAUGAACUAUUCUGUAUGACAAAUGGAUAUCCACAAGCAUUUAUUACAAGAUUCCUGUGCAGCACGCAGGGAAGAAGAAAGAAGGCAGAGGACCAACUUUAUGGCACACUACCAUACAUCAAAAACAUUUCACAAACAGUAGAAUGCAAGCAGGCAUUGCACACCGCCCAAAGGCUACCAUAUGAGGACAGAUCAUGCAUUGUAAAGAUCAGUUGAAGGGGGAGAUAUUUCCAAUGUAAUCUACCAGAUCCCCUCUGGUAGGGCAGAUGGGGAGGAAGCUAACUACUAGAUUGCAAGAACAUAAGUAAGUGGUCAGACACGGAGAUCCAAACUCAUUGGGAGUCUCACAUUGCAAUGAACAAGGACAUAAAUUGAAUUUUAUACCAUUAAGAUUGUUGGCUGAGCAGUACAAAAAUAGUGAAAUUAUUGAAGCCUGGGAAAUGGAUCCCUAGUCAGUCAAAAGGAGUGCCAAUUUAUCAGCUUAUUAGGCACUUAGAUGAAGAACAAGGACUUGGCAAUAGAAGGAAACAAAAUCAAUUUAAUGCCCCAAUCAACAAUCAAUGCCACACACAACCAGGCACCACAUAAAUACUAUGCAUCUAAUAGCCCAUUCUGGUGAGAGGGAAGUUCCCCGAGGAUGGACUCCAUCAGGAGUCUCUAAACCUGGAAGACUAAUCUGGUCCUGGUGAUUGACCCAGUUUGGAUCAUGUAUUCUACAUAGUUUUAUACUGCUUUUUAUUAAUAAUGUUCACAUAUUGUUUCUUGGCUGCCCAGUUAAGAUGAACAGCUGUAUGAUUUUCUGAAAUAAACAAAUCUCUAGUUCUA